AGCACUAGCCAAAAUCCACACUUUGCCAAGGAAAGAAAUCAAGCAGCUCUCCAGCAAGGGCAUGAAUCAAAGGAGAGUGACGCUAGGCAUUCAGCCUAUGGCAGCACCAGAAGUAGACGUUCCAGAUCUGGUUCUAGAAGGAUGAACCAGAUACAGGAUGCUGUACUUUGACAAGACGCUGCAGCACAAAGGAGCUAGGAUACUCUAAAUAACAUGACAGCCAUGAUGCAGUGGCAAGUCAACAGGCAGUUCAGGAAGGACUGUGAGGUUGCUAUUGCCAGAAUUCCAAACCCAGAUGUUGUGGUCUAACAGCUAGACCUCCCU
This 324-nucleotide long non-coding RNA is filed under the name Prunus persica (peach). RNAcentral's name for it is "long non-coding RNA (PPER_LNC000830)". The record is from RNAcentral. Lineage: Eukaryota; Viridiplantae; Streptophyta; Magnoliopsida; Rosales; Rosaceae.